GCCGGGCGUGGUGGCUCAUGCCUGUAGUCCCAGCUACUCGGGAGGCUGAGGUGGGAGGAUUGCUUGAGCCCAGGAGUUCUGGGCUGUAGUGUGCUGUGCAGUUCGGGUGUCCGCACUAAUUUCGGCAUCAAUAUGGUGACCUCCCGGGAGCAGGGGACCACCAGGUUGCCUAAGGAGGAGGGGUCAACCAGCCCAGGUCGGAAACGGAGCAGGUCAAAACUCCUGUGCUGAUCAGUGGUAGGAUCACGCCUGUGAAUAGCCACUGCCCUCCAGCCUGGGCAGCAUAGUGAGACUCCGUCUCU
Unclassified non-coding RNA from Cebus imitator (Panamanian white-faced capuchin), 302 nucleotides. It matches the Rfam family "Metazoan signal recognition particle RNA". From Rfam's summary of the family: The signal recognition particle (SRP) is a universally conserved ribonucleoprotein. It is involved in the co-translational targeting of proteins to membranes. The eukaryotic SRP consists of a 300-nucleotide 7S RNA and six proteins: SRPs 72, 68, 54, 19, 14, and 9. Lineage: Eukaryota; Metazoa; Chordata; Mammalia; Primates; Cebidae. The record is from Ensembl.